UAAAGAUUCCAGAUCUGCCUCCGUCCCACCUCCGUCCCAAGCCCUCCUGCCGCCGUCUUUCAUCAAGGGAGAGUGAACCAUCAAGAUCCAUCUUCUCCUCCUUCACCCCAAAUUUCUCCCUUCAUUUCACGUUCACAUAGAAAAAAGAAAAAAGGAACCACCUUUUCUUUUGAUUCACCUCUCGGAACGGAACACAGUGUCAUGUUCCGCGCGAGCAACAACCCGUGAACGAGUACCGGUCGCUGUCCACGCUGUUCCCCUUUUUAUGGGCCGCCGGAGACGUCGUCGG
This 289-nucleotide long non-coding RNA is filed under the name Lotus japonicus. RNAcentral describes it as "long non-coding RNA (LJAP_LNC000258)". Lineage: Eukaryota; Viridiplantae; Streptophyta; Magnoliopsida; Fabales; Fabaceae. The record is from RNAcentral.